CUCUUGGAGUCACAGACGCUGCUGCUGAGCACUUCCACUGGCCACCUCCUUUUCCGGCGCUGUUCGUGGGCAGGCAAAAUGGCCGACUCGUCAGUUACAGUGCGCACCCGAAAAUACAUGACUAACCGUCUGCUGUGCAGAAAACAAAUGGUGGUGGACAUCAUCCAUCCCAACCGUGGCACAGUCUCCAAGAACGAGGUGCGCGAGAAGCUCAGCACCAUGUACAACACAACACCCGAUGUGGUCUUCUGCUUUGGCUUUCGCACACAAUUUGGCGGUGGCAAGACCUCUGGUUUUGCCCUGAUCUAUGACACCCUGGACUUCGCCAAGAAAUUCGAACCCAAGUACAGGUUGUGCAGGAAUGGCCUUGGUGAGAAAGGCAGAACAGGUCGCAAGCAGCGAAAGGAACGAAAGAACCGUAUGAAGAAGGUUCGGGGAACAAAGAAGGCCAAGGUUGGAGCAGCCGCAGGGAAGAAACGCUAAUGGGGCUCUCGCUCGCUCUGCUCUGUCAUUGGCUUUGGCUGGUCGGGUGCUUUCAAGUGACCUGGGACCCACCCCAAGAAUGGUUGCGCCGCCACGUGUACAUUUGGCCACCUCAAUAAAUGUGGAUGGCGCACAA
Molecule: RNA transcript, 619 nt
Organism: Dermacentor silvarum
Lineage: Eukaryota; Metazoa; Arthropoda; Arachnida; Ixodida; Ixodidae
Gene: RpS24
Gene name: 40S ribosomal protein S24
Exons: 6
Source: RefSeq, a predicted model, not a curated record